Molecule: long non-coding RNA, 5307 nt
Filed under: Heterocephalus glaber (naked mole-rat)
Lineage: Eukaryota; Metazoa; Chordata; Mammalia; Rodentia; Bathyergidae
Description: lncRNA (ENSHGLG00100042756.1)
Source: RNAcentral
CGCGACAUCUCGGCUUGGGCAGCUGCCGAGAGCCACUCUCUGCUGCUCGGGAUGCUGAGAGGAAGGAGAGCGGGAUCUGGCCUUACAAACAUCAGUAUCGCCGCCAGCCCCCGCCGACAGGCCUGACUUCACCAGUCUCCUCGCCGCCUCCCUGCCAACAACGCUCCGUCCCUAUCUUCGGCCAACGCGAGCGACUUCCGGCGCAGGGAAGUGCGUCAUCAACACACCGGAAGUAAACGUCAUCACCCGGCGCCAGCCACACACGCCGUGAAGGCCUGAGCUUUAGACGCUGGUUCGCGCAGGUUGGGAAAGAGCCGCUGUUGGCACCAAGGUCGCCUCUCCUCCGCGCCACCAUGCAGGUCUCCAACCUCAACGAGGUGAAGAUUUACAGUCUCAGCUGCGGCAAGUCCCUUCCUGAGUGGCUUUCAGACAGGAAGAAGAGAGCGUUGCAGAAGAAAGAUGUCGACGUCCGCAGGAGGAUCGAGCUCAUCCAGGACUUUGAGAUGCCAACCGUCUGCACCACGAUGCAGGUGUCCAAAGACGGGCAGUACAUCCUCGCCACUGGAACAUACAAACCCUCGGGUUCGAUGUUAUGACACCUACCAGUUAUCCUUGAAGUUUGAAAGGUGUUUAGAUUCAGAAGUUGUCACCUUUGAAAUUUUAUCUGAUGAUUAUUCAAAGAUUGUCUUCUUGCAUAACGACCGGUAUAUUGAAUUUCACUCACAAUCAGGUUUUUAUUACAAAACCAGAAUACCCAAGUUUGGAAGGGAUUUCUCCUACCACUACCCGUCCUGCGACCUGUACUUUGUCGGGUGCGAGGUAUUGGGGCCAAAACUCUUUGCUUCCUUUUUUCCUCCUCCCAAAUAACCGCUUUCUCUUCCUAAAUUUCUUGUGCAUUUUAUUUAUCUGUUUAGUUAGCCUUGAUAAAGUUUAUGUGGUUACUGCAAAAAAAGAACAACAAAAAAAAGUCUUAGAAAACAAGGGAUAAACAGCAACAACAAAAAACCCCAGUGCUCUACAUAUUAAUGCAUUUGAUUUACAAGUGGCUUCCUGAUAUUUUAACACCUGUUAUACUGCCUACUAAAAUAUGUUCUAACAUUAAAAAUAUUUAUAAUAAUUACAUGUCACAGUAGUUAAUUAAACUCUGGGAAUACUGAUAGGAAAUACAUAAGCCUGUUGAAUAUAUCUCAAAUGCUUCACUGUGUGAGAUUGUAUUGUUUUUCUUUUUCUUUUGUACAUUUCUGUUUAUGUCUCCAAAGUUGUAGUUUCUGCUUUAGGUUUGUUCAGUAUCAGUGAUAAUUUUGUUUUGUUUUUGUUUUUUGAGACAGGGUCUUGGUGUGUAGCCCAAGCUGGCCUCGAAUUUGCAGUGAUCCUCCUGCCUCAGCCUCCUCAGUGCUGGGAUUACAGAUGUGUGCCACCACACCUAGCCUCAGUGAGGAGUUUCUGUCUGGGUCAUCUUGUGAUGAAGGGACUGUAGUUGGAGGACAUUUGGGCCAGGUGCUGAGAAUAGUCCUGAGAUCAUGAAGGCGGUGGUAAUGGAUCACGUGGCUCAUGUGUCAUGGCGUUUCAUUAUGGAGACCGGUGACCAUUUAACUUAAAAGGUUAAUGCAAACAUAGCCUCAUAUUGGUCUCGCCACAUAGUUGCUGAUCACUACUUGGAGUAUUUCAGUGGAACUAUUUCAAGUAGAAUAGGCCUGAGGCUCUAAUUCCAGCUACUUAGGAGGCUGAGACAGGAGGAUUGCAAAUUGGAGGCCAGCCUGGGCAACUUAGGAAGACCUUGUCUCAAAACAUAAAAGAGGGCUGGGGAUGUAGCUCCAUGACAAAACACCCCAGAGUUCUCUCAGUACCACAAAAAAAUGAGCAGACCGAUUAACAAAAACCAAAAGUGAAAAGAAAUUUUUUGAGAGGACCCUAAAAAACAUGAGACCUUUUUCCUGCCUUGGAGUUGCCUCGGGUUGUAGUGCGAAUUGCUCAGGGCUCACCCUUCCUGUCUGCUGGGGCGGAGAGAGGAGCCCGCUGGGGAGCUGCCCAGGAAGGGUGUGGAGGGUGAACUGCUGGGGAAGCCACUUUCUUGGCUCUGUCUCGUGGGAUUCCAGAACUUUAUUCUUUUUUUUAAAUACAUUUUAUUUUAUCCUGUUCCCCCCUUCAAGCCCCCUCCCGUCCCUAUGUACAGAAGCUUUGUUUCCAUUUUUUCCUUCUAUUUUCACUUUUUUCUUGUCUCUUUCCUCCCUCCCUCCCUUCUUCUUCUUUCCGUUUGAACACUUUCUUCCCAUUUCCCAACAUCCAUUAUACAUCUCAGUCCUUAUUUCCACAUUCAGUUUCUCACACCAGAGAAACAAUGUGGUAUUUAAACAUGUGUGUCCAACUUAUUUCACUUAAGAGUAUGGUCUCAAGGUGUAUCCAUUUAGAUAUAAAUGUCUGAAUCUCAUCCUUUAUGGCUGAGUAGUACUCCAUUGUAUAAAAAAAAAACCACAUCUUUAUCCACUUGUCAGUUGAUGGGCAUUGGGGCUGUUUCCAAGAUUUAGCUAUUACAAAUUGUGCUGCUACAAACAUGGGUGUGCAUAUAUCGCUGUGGCAUGAUGCUUUUAAUUCUUUGGGGAAGAUACCAAGAAGAGACAUAGCUGGGUCUAAUGGGACUUCCAGUCCUAGUUCUUUGGGGUGUCUCCAUACUGAUUUCCACAGUGGUUGCACCAGUCUACACUCCCACCAGCAGGAGAGAAGGAUUCCUUUUCUCCACAACCCCUCCAGCAUUUGUUAUUGGUUGAUUUCUUGAUAGCAGCCAUUCUUUGUGGGGUGAGGUGGAAUCGUAGCAUUGUUUUAAUUUGCAUCUCUCAAAUGACCAGUGAUGUUGAACAUUUUUUCAUAUAUUUAUUUACCAUUUCUAAUUCUUUAUCUGAGAAGUAUCUUUAUUUCAGAUGCCCAUUUUUGCUAUGGGUCUUUAAAUUUGAGGGAUCUGAUUUUUUUUAGGGUUUUUUUGGUACUGGGGAUCAAACUCAGGACCUUGCACUUGCGAGACAGGUGGCAGAACCACUGAGCUAAAUCCCCAGCCCUUGAGUUCUUUAUAUAUUCUAGAUAGUAGUCCUUUAUCUGAAUAGCUGGUAAAAUUUUUUCCUGCAUUGUGGGCUGUCUCUUCACACCGUUGGUGGUUUCUCUUUCUGUGCAAAAGCUUUUUAAUAAGAUGAGGUCCUAAUUGUUCAUAAAGUCUUUGCCUACUCCUAUGUCCUCAACUGCAGAACUUUGUUCUUUUUUUUUUUUUUUUUGGUACCAGGGAUCGAACUUGGGUCCUUGCAUUUGUGAGGCAGGCCUCGGAACCGCUGAGCUAAAUCUCCAGCCCCAGAACUUUAUUCUUAAGUGCUGCCUUUUUAUGAAUAUAAAAAUUAUGUGUUAUUUAUUUUAGAAAAUUGGGAAAAUACAGAAAAGUUUGAAAAAAUCUUGCUGUAUGGUUAUGCCACCCCAAAGAAACUGUGUUAGUAUUUUAUUGUGUUGCUUUUUAGUCUUUUGUUCAAUUUUUUUUUCUUGAACUGGGGAUCGAACUCGGGACCUUGUGCUUGAGAGGCAAGUGGUGGCACUACUGAGCUAAAUCUCUGGCCUUAGUCUUAUGUUCGUAUUAGAUACUUUAGGUACUUUUGGAUGUUCAGUCUCCUUAGUGACGUCCUAAUCUUUCCUUGGUGGUUUAACUCUUUUACAUGGCAAUUCCUAAAUGAGGUGAAUAUAGGUUUAGAACAGAUUUUUUUAUCAGUUUUACCAAAGAAGGUAAAUUGUGAGUGAUAUAUAUAAUUAUGAAAUUUAUAUUUACGAAACUUCUGUGUGCUUACAAGUUGAUCACCGUUCCCCAGGCAUUUAGCUUGCUUUGUUAUUUUGCAGUUCUGAAGUUUACAGAUUAAACCUGGAACAAGGCCGUUACCUGAACCCCUUGCAGACAGAUGCCGCGGAGAACAACGUCUGUGACAUAAAUUCCAUGCACGGCUUAUUUGCCACAGGAACAAUAGAGGGUCGAGUGGAGUGCUGGGACCCUAGAGCCCGGAGCAGAGUCGGUCUGCUGGACUGUGCCCUAAACAGCGUCACAGUGGACUCAGAGGUCAGCAGCCUGCCGACCAUCUCUGCCCUGCGGUUCAGUGGUGCCCUCACCAUGGCAGUGGGCACGUCCACCGGGCAGGUUUUAUUAUAUGACCUUCGAUCCAGUAAGCCACUGCUAGUUAAGGAUCACCAGUAUGGGCUGCCCAUCAAGUCCAUCCACUUCCAGGGACGCUUUAGAUUUGAUUCUGUCAGCAGACUCUCGCAUCAUCAAAAUGUGGAAUAAGAACUCAGGGAAAAUAUUUACCUCCUUGGAGCCAGAACAUGACCUCAAUGACGUCUGCCUGUACCCCGGCUCAGGAAUGCUCCUCACUGCCAACGAGGCCCCCAAGAUGGGCAUCUAUUACGUCCCGGUCCUGGGCCCCGCGCCUCGAUGGUGCUCUUUCCUGGACAGCCUGACAGAAGAAUUAGAGGAAAAUCCAGAGAGCACGGUCUCACGACGAUUACAAAUUCGUCACCAAGAAAGACCUUGAAAAUUUAGGGCUCAUGCAUCUCAUCGGCUCGCCCUUCCUGCGGGCGUACAUGCAUGGGUUUUUCAUGGACAUAAGGCUCUAUCACAAGGUGAAACUGAUGGUCAACCCAUUUGCUUAUGAAGAGUACAGGAAAGAUAAAAUUCGACAGAAGAUAGAAGAGGCGCGGGCACAGCGCGUCCAGUUAAAGAAGUUGCCAAAAGUUAACAAAGAGCUGGCUCUCAAAUUAAUGGAGGAAGAAGAAGAGAAGCAGAAGUCUACAUGGAAAAGGAAAGCAAAGAGCCUUCCUAAUAUUCUCACUGAUGAUCGAUUUAAAGUUAUGUUUGAGAAUCCUGACUUCCAAGUAGAUGAAGAAAGUGAAGAAUUCAGGCUUUUGAAUCCACUUGUUUCAAAAAAUUAGUGAGAAAAGGAAGAAGAAACUAAGACUCUUAGAGCAACAAGAACUUCAGAGAAAAAGUAACGAAGAGGAGCCGGAAGGCAGGCCAAGCGACUCGGAGAGCUCUGACAGCUCGGAGGAUGAGAAGGACUGGGUGGCCGAGGUCCGAAGCAGCGCCGACUGUUGCAGCAGGAGGAAAAGGUGCGACGGCAGGAGCAGUGCCGAGAGGACCAGCAGGCAGUCCUGAAGCCCCAGUUCUACGAGAUCAAGGCCGGGGAGGAGUUCCGAAGCUUCCGGGAGUCUGCCUCCAAGCAGAAGCUGAUGAACAAAACCCUUGAGGAUCGGUUGAAACUUGAAGCAAAAAAUGGCACAUUGGCGUCGGCAGCC